Non-coding RNA from Danio rerio (zebrafish), 257 nucleotides. Lineage: Eukaryota; Metazoa; Chordata; Actinopteri; Cypriniformes; Danionidae. The record is from RefSeq and is a predicted model, not a curated record.
AGGCACAAUAGGACUAGGUUCCCACUACAAGGAUUAGAUUUGGCUACUGCAGUCCCGGUUUGGGUCCAGCCUCACUUGUAAAGACUAAAGAUGAAGACAACAUACAAGAACAAUUUAGAGAACGGCGACACACUUUUUAUUCCACCUAUAUAAACCCUUUUAUGUGUAAGCAACAUUCCACAAGAUAAAACAAAACUAAAUGACAAGUUAUUUCUUUUUAUUUUGUCUGUUUUCUUGGAACAUUGUACAUAAUCUAC